RNAcentral lists this ribosomal RNA (468 nucleotides) under uncultured bacterium. Its description in RNAcentral is "partial 16S ribosomal RNA". It matches the Rfam family "Bacterial small subunit ribosomal RNA", at positions 28 to 507 of the family's 1533-position model. The record is from RNAcentral.
GACGAACGCUGGCGGCGUGCUUAACACAUGCAAGUCGAACGGAAAGGCCCUGCUUUUGUGGGGUGCUCGAGUGGCGAACGGGUGAGGAACACGUGAGUAGCCUGCCCUUGACUUUGGGAUAACUUCAGGAAACUGGGGCUAAUACCAGAUAGGAGCUCCUGCUGCAUGGGGGGGGUUGGAAAGUUUCGGCGGUUGGGGAUGGACGCGCGGCGUAUCAGGUUGUUGGUGGGGUAGUGGCGUACCAAGGCUUUGACGGGUAGCCGGCCUGAGAGGGUUACCGGCCCCGUUGGGACUGAGAUGCGGCCCAGACUCCUACGGGAGGCAACAGUGGGGAAUAGCGCACAGCGGGCGGAAGCCUGAUGCAGCAACGCCGCGUGCGGGAUGACCGCCUUCGGGUUGUAAACCGCUUUCGCCUGUGACGAAGCGUGAGUGACGGUAAUGGGUAAAGAAGCACCGGCUAACUACGUG